Long non-coding RNA from Oncorhynchus tshawytscha (Chinook salmon), 539 nucleotides. The record is from Ensembl. Lineage: Eukaryota; Metazoa; Chordata; Actinopteri; Salmoniformes; Salmonidae.
UAGAAGGUACACCAUACCACAGCACCCGACAUAGCUGACCACCCACCAUCCUGACCCUCCUAGAAGGUACAACAUACCACAGCAUCCACUAUACUGACCCUCCUAGAAGGUACAACAUACCACAGCACCCACUAUACUGACCCUCCUAGAAGGUACAACAUACCACAGCACCCACUAUACUGACCAUCCACUAUACUGACCCUCCUAGAAGGUACAACAUACCACAGCACCCACUAUACUGACCCUCCUAGAAGGUACAACAUACCACAGCACCCACUAUACUGACCCUCCACUAUACUGACCCUCCUAGAAGGUACAACAUACCACAGCACCCACUAUACUGACCAUUAACUAUACUGACCCUCCUAGAAGGUACAACAUACCACAGCACCCACUAUACUGACCCUCCUAGAAGGUACAACAUACCACAGCACCCACUAUACUGAUCCUCCUAGAAGGUACAACAUACCACAGCACCCACUAUACUGAUCCUCCUAGAAGGUACACCAUACCACAGCACCCACUAUACUGACCCUCCU